This 1569-nucleotide ribosomal RNA is filed under the name Blastocystis sp. subtype 4. Its description in RNAcentral is "SSU rRNA". It matches the Rfam family "Bacterial small subunit ribosomal RNA". Lineage: Eukaryota; Bigyra; Opalinata; Blastocystidae. The record is from RNAcentral.
AAUAAUUAAGAGUUUGAUCCUAGCUCCGAAUGAAUGCUAGUAGUAUGCUUGAACACAUGCUAGUUAAUAUUAAAUUUUUGAUAAUUAGUUAUAAUUUUUAGAAAUUUAAUAUAGCGUAAAGGUGAGGAAAAAAUUAUACUCUCUAGAAAUGGCUGUAAAAAUUUAAUUUAAUCAGUAAUAAUUAAUAAAGGAAAAUAGAGAAAAUUUAUUUUCUGUUUUUGGAUGUAUAAUUUUUUAAGAUUAAAUAGUUGGUGAGGUAAAAGCUUACCAAGUUUUAGAUCUUUAGUUGAUUUGUGAGAAUGACCAACCACAUCGAGAUUGAAAGAAAGCUCGAACUUAAAUUAAGGCAGCAGUGGGGAAUAUUGGACAAUGAACGAAAGUUUGAUCCAGCAAUACUACAUAAGUGAUGAAGGCUUUAUCGCUGUAAAACUUAGAAUUUAAUAAAAUAAUGAUUAUUAAAAGAUUAGUUCUGACAAACUCUGUGCCAGCAGUCGCGGUAAUACAGAGGGAACAAGCAUUAUUCGUCUUUACUGGGCGUAAAGUGUCUUAAGGUGAUUUUUAUUAAUUAAAUAUUAAAUAUUAAAGCUUAACUUUAAUAUAUAUUUAAUAUUGAAAAAUUUGAGUAUCAAAGAUGAUUAUAGAAUUUUUAAUGUAGGGGUAAAAUCCGUUGAUAUUAGAAAGAAUACCUUUUGGUGGAGACAAUAAUCAAGUUGAUUACUGACAUUGAUAGACGAAAGCAUGGGUAGCAAACAGGAUUUGGUACCCUGGUAGUCCAUGCUGUAAACAAUAAAUAUUAAAUAUUUGAUCUGGUUAAACAUAUAAUUUUAUAUGGGAAGAAAAUCAUUUUAGAUUUUAACAUCAAAUAUUAAAAGUUAACACGUUAAAUAUUUCGCCUGGGGAGUAAAACCGCAAGGUUGAAACUCAAAGGAAUUGACGGGAGCUUAUACUUACGGUGGAGCAUGUGGUUUAAUCCGAUAGUCCGCGUGGAAUCUUACCAAUUUUUGACAGUUAUUUAGUUUUGAUUAAAUAAACAGGUGUUGCAUGGUCGUUGUCAGCUUAUGUUUUGAAAUUUUAUAAGUAUAACCCUUAAUUUAAUUUACUAAUAUUUAGAAAAAUUUUUAAACUAAAAAUUACUAAGUAAGUACUAUUAAAUUAGAAAUAUAAAAGUUUUUUUAUAUUUUAUGAGGAUGAAAAUAGAUCGUUAUGACCCUUAUAAAUUGGGCUACACAUGUGCUACAAUAUUUUAUACAAAAAGUUGCAAUUAUGAGAAUAAGAGCAAAUCUUAUAAAAUAAAAUUAAAUACGGAUUAUAGAUUGAAACUUAUCUAUAUGAAGUUGGAAUCGUAAGUAAUCGUAAAUUAGUAUGUUACGGUGAAUCAUAGUACUUGAGCUCUGUACACACCGCCCGUCACAUUAAAGAAGUAAUUUUCGAUUGAAAUUUUGAUUUAUUUUUAAAUAUUCUAAAUAUAAUUUUUAUUUAGUUAUUUUUCUAUAAAUUUUAAUUAAAUUAUAAAUUAUAAUUUUAAUGAAGUCGUAACAAGGUAACCGUAUGGGAACAUGCGGUUGGAAU